ACACAUGCAAGUCGAACGAUGAACCAGGUGCUUGCACUUGGGGAUUAGUGGCGAACGGGUGAGUAACACGUGAGUAACCUGCCCCUGACUCUGGGAUAAGCCCGGGAAACUGGGUCUAAUACCGGAUAUGACUGUUCACCGCAUGGUGGGUGGUUGAAAGAUUUAUCGGUGAGGGAUGGACUCGCGGCCUAUCAGCUUGUUGGUGAGGUAAUGGCUCACCAAGGCGACGACGGGUAGCCGGCCUGAGAGGGUGACCGGCCACACUGGGACUGAGACACGGCCCAGACUCCUACGGGAGGCAGCAGUGGGGAAUAUUGCACAAUGGGCGAAAGCCUGAUGCAGCGACGCCGCGUGAGGGAUGACGGCCUUCGGGUUGUAAACCUCUUUCAGUAGGGAAGAAGCGAAAGUGACGGUACCUGCAGAAGAAGCGCCGGCUAACUACGUGCCAGCAGCCGCGGUAAUACGUAGGGCGCAAGCGUUAUCCGGAUUUAUUGGGCGUAAAGAGCUCGUAGGCGGUUUGUCGCGUCUGCCGUGAAAGUCCAAGGCUCAACCUUGGAUCUGCGGUGGGUACGGGCAGACUAGAGUGAUGUAGGGGAGACUGGAAUUCCUGGUGUAGCGGUGAAAUGCGCAGAUAUCAGGAGGAACACCGAUGGCGAAGGCAGGUCUCUGGGCAUUUACUGACGCUGAGGAGCGAAAGCAUGGGGAGCGAACAGGAUUAGAUACCCUGGUAGUCCAUGCCGUAAACGUUGGGCACUAGGUGUGGGGGACAUUCCACGUUUUCCGCGCCGUAGCUAACGCAUUAAGUGCCCCGCCUGGGGAGUACGGCCGCAAGGCUAAAACUCAAAGGAAUUGACGGGGGCCCGCACAAGCGGCGGAGCAUGCGGAUUAAUUCGAUGCAACGCGAAGAACCUUACCAAGGCUUGACAUGUGCCAGACCGCCUCAGAGAUGGGGUUUCCCUUCGGGGCUGGUUCACAGGUGGUGCAUGGUUGUCGUCAGCUCGUGUCGUGAGAUGUUGGGUUAAGUCCCGCAACGAGCGCAACCCUCGUUCCAUGUUGCCAGCACGUAAUGGUGGGGACUCAUGGGAGACUGCCGGGGUCAACUCGGAGGAAGGUGGGGAUGACGUCAAAUCAUCAUGCCCCUUAUGUCUUGGGCUUCACGCAUGCUACAAUGGCCGGUACAAUGGGUUGCGAUACUGUGAGGUGGAGCUAAUCCCUAAAAGCCGGUCUCAGUUCGGAUUGGGGUCUGCAACUCGACCCCAUGAAGUCGGAGUCGCUAGUAAUCGCAGAUCAGCAACGCUGCGGUGAAUACGUUCCCGGGCCUUGUACACACCGCCCGUCAAGUCACGAAAGUUGGUAACACCCGAAGCCGAUGGCCUAACCACCUUGUGUGGGGGGAGUCGUCGAAGGUGGGACUGGCGAUUGGGACUAAGUCGUAA
RNAcentral lists this ribosomal RNA (1436 nucleotides) under Glutamicibacter arilaitensis. RNAcentral's name for it is "bacterial SSU rRNA". It matches the Rfam family "Bacterial small subunit ribosomal RNA". Lineage: Bacteria; Bacillati; Actinomycetota; Actinomycetes; Micrococcales; Micrococcaceae. The record is from RNAcentral.